Molecule: long non-coding RNA, 2794 nt
Filed under: Homo sapiens (human)
Lineage: Eukaryota; Metazoa; Chordata; Mammalia; Primates; Hominidae
Description: HSALNT0151160
Source: RNAcentral
GUUUCACAGGGUGGGGGUUUUGUUCUUUUGCCCUUUGCAGUAAAUCUUGCUGCUACUAACUCUUUGGGUCCACGCUGCCUUUGUGAGCUUUAACACUCACCACGAAGGUCUGCAGCUUCACUCCUGAAGCCAGCGAGACCACGAACCCACACUGAAGGAAGGAAACUCGGAACACAUCCGAACAUCAGAAGGAACAAACUCGACACGUUGCCUUUAAGAACUGUGACACUCACCGCGAGGGUCGGCGUCUCCAUUCUUGAAGUCAGUGAGACCAAGAACCCACCAACCAAUUCCGGACACAAUCUCAGCACUGUGGGAGACUGAGGCACCUGCCAAACCUGCACAGAUUCCUACAGCAGCCAGUUCGCUCUGUCUCGAGGCUUCAGAGGAACACGAACUUCUCUGAUGGAAGAGCCUUGUUCUAGAAGGGAGUGAAGCCUAGGUCUUUCCUGAGCACACAGAAGAUCAAGACCACACUCACUGACUUCUCAUAGUCAAGCAAUUUUGGCCAAUUAAAUGUCAGUUGGAAACUCCUGUGUCAGCUUCUCUGUGGCGGUGAGAAGUCCCUGUGUGACAUCCCAACUCUCCCCUCACCUGCGUUGGCAACCAAGAAAGCCUUGUGUUGGAGGUGGGGCCACAAGUUUAAAGCUAAGUUACCACCUCGAGGGCACAUUCCUGGAGAGCUUCCCAGGCCCACAGUGGCACGUGUAUGAGUGACAGAUCCACUUCUUUAUUACCUUUUUGAAGAACAGGAACCUUUGUCUGGAAAUUCCACAAGUAUGCCUUUUGCAAGAUUAAAAGUGCCACAAAGAACAAAAAUGAGCCCAGGACCAGAUGCAUGUUAAAAGCCAUCAGACACGUUAAGUUUCAUCUCCAUUGACCUGCAGAAGGAGUCUCUCACCACAGCCACCACAUCUAUGCAUGUGCUGAGUCACAUGUGAAGCCAGCACAUCUCAGAGUCUCACCGAAAGCUCAUGGUGAGACAAAGAGACUAGAAGGGGUAGAGUCAGCUAACUUCUCUCCUCCCACCACUGAUGAGGUUUUGGUGAAUUCUCUUCCCUUGCUCAGUAAGUCAUUAUUAUGGGGAAUGCUUCGGGUUUAUUCAAAAUGUUUUACUUUUCCUUUCUCCCUGACAGAAACAAAGGCUUUACUUGACUCUUUACUAUGAAAGCCUGGUUGGGUUCCUGAAAGUAAUACUCAUAGAAGUGUAGGGUCCCCUAUGACUGCAGCCCUCAGGAGUUUCUCAUUCUUAACAGUAAUGUAAAUGCUGCCCCCCAUAAUUUGUCAAAGUUCCUAUUUAAAUGUUCCCACCAAUUUAUGGCUCCAACUGCUGUUGCUUCAGUAAGCCACUGGCCUAGACAAGAAGCAACUCUGCACUGCUUUUCAAACAUCAUCCUCCCUCUCGACCGCAGGGACUAUUUGGUUUCUAUUCUACUUCUGGCCUUUCAUAUUCCUGAUGGUGCAUUGGAUGAAACCCCGCAGCCAGGCGUGUGAACGUGGUUGAAAAGACCCAUGGAGGACCAGCAACGCUUCCCCACAGCGUGGGAUGGUCCCCUCCUGAGAUGGCCCACUGUCAGCGGGACUGGUACAUGAGUUGUUUUCCCAGCUGAGAGGAUGGGUCAUAAGACCCACUUAUACUUUUUGUCCUGGUCUCUUUUUAACUAACUACACAAUUGUACAAUCCCUGGCCAGGGUCCAUGACUGAGGACAGAGUUUUCCUGUGUAGAUUUUUUUCUGCAGCAAACAUUUGCACUGAGCUGUAGGAAUAGACUGGGCAUGGCCACCAUUUUUCCAAUUCCAGUGGGAUUAUCCGGGCAAAAACUUCAGAAAACUUGUGGGAUUCUAGAGUAGGCCGAACAGGCUCAUGACACAUUCCCUGUCCUUACCAGACGCCAAGCACUGCAUCCUGUCUGCUUCUUGAACAGCCCCUUCAUUGUUUGUUCAGCUAUUCUGCUGCAUCUGCAGAUAGCCCUGCCUGAGAAACAGCCUCAAACCAGAAGGAGAGGAUGGCGGCAAGCCUUAGAGAAACAUCAAAAUUUGCUAUUAAGAAAAUAGUGAAGAAGUCUCAUCAGAGAGAAGUUAAAAGCAUACUAGUGGAUUCCUUGGGGCUGCAGAAAGAGUAGCAAAAAGUUGGAGAAAACAUCAACUACACCAAAGGAAUUUUAGGAGCUUGGUCCCCAGCAAAGCUCAUGGAAUCUCUCUCUGCAAGGAAGAGUCAGUUUUAAAAGCCCUCAGCCUGCUCUCAAUGGGUCCUGCCUCCUUCCCUGCCUGCACCCCAACACUGGGGAAAGGAGAAACCUCCGUUAGCAAGUUGGAGAAAAGGAGUUGAGGAAGGAAGAGGAUAGCCCGGCCCCCUCCCUGACUGCAGGUUUUUCUUUUUCUUUUUAACAGUGGAUUCUAGCGAGGGGAGGGCAAAUCCCUGAAACCUUGAAUGAAGUUGGAAGCCUUUACUAGUUUGUGUGUUUGGAAUUCUAAGUAGAAAUUGAGACUGUGUUUUGUGACUCAAAUGACUAAGAUUUUCUGUUACCUACGAGUGGCCAAAAUGUCAAGUAUUCAUCCGGGGGCAGGGUGAAAACUAGACCUACUGAGAAAGUUAAAAGACAAGGGGAAAACACAAUAAACCUGCUGUAUUUUUACCUCCAAAGUGUCCAUUCAAUUUACUGGCUGUAGUAGUUUGAAAGCAAGGUUCUGUGAUAUCAUUCCAGAGUUGAGAGUAACAAAAGCUGAUAAUUGUAAAUGCAGCACUAUCCAAUGGAAAUAUAAUGCAAAUUAUAUGCGUGACUUAACAUUUUUU